Molecule: ribosomal RNA, 254 nt
Filed under: uncultured bacterium
Lineage: Bacteria
Description: partial 16S ribosomal RNA
Rfam family: Bacterial small subunit ribosomal RNA
Source: RNAcentral
GACGUAGGGCGCGAGCGUUGUCCGGAUUUAUUGGGCGUAAAGAGCUCGUAGGCGGUUUGUUGCGUCGGCUGUGAAAACCUGAGGCUCAACCUCAGGCCUGCAGUCGAUACGAGCAGACUAGAGUGUUGCAGGGGAGACUGGAAUUCCUGGUGUAGCGGUGAAAUGCGCAGAUAUCAGGAGGAACACCGGUGGCGAAGGGCGGGUCUCUGGGCAACAACUGACGCUGAGGAGCGAAAGCGUGGGGAGCGAACAGG